CGGAGGAAAAGAAACCAACAGGGAUUGCCUUAGUAGCGGCGAGUGAAGCGGCAAAAGCUCAAAUUUGAAAUCUGGCUCUUUCAGAGUCCGAGUUGUAAUUUGAAGAAGGUAUCUUUGGGUCUGGCUCUUGUCUAUGUUUCUUGGAACAGAACGUCACAGAGGGUGAGAAUCCCGUGCGAUGAGAUGAUCCAGGCCUAUGUAAAGUUCCUUCGAAGAGUCGAGUUGUUUGGGAAUGCAGCUCUAAGUGGGUGGUAAAUUCCAUCUAAAGCUAAAUAUUGGCGAGAGACCGAUAGCGAACAAGUACAGUGAUGGAAAGAUGAAAAGAACUUUGAAAAGAGAGUGAAAAAGUACGUGAAAUUGUUGAAAGGGAAGGGCUUGAGAUCAGACUUGGUAUUUUGUAUGUUACUUCUUCGGGGGUGGCCUCUACAGUUUAUCGGGCCAGCAUCAGUUUGGGCGGUAGGAGAAUUGCGUUGGAAUGUGGCACGGCUUCGGUUGUGUGUUAUAGCCUUCGUCGAUACUGCCAGCCUAGACUGAGGACUGCGGUUUAUACCUAGGAUGUUGGCAUAAUGAUCUUAAGUCGCCCGUCUUGAA
RNAcentral lists this ribosomal RNA (591 nucleotides) under Candida tropicalis. Its description in RNAcentral is "eukaryotic LSU rRNA". It matches the Rfam family "Eukaryotic large subunit ribosomal RNA", at positions 51 to 658 of the family's 3401-position model. Lineage: Eukaryota; Fungi; Ascomycota; Pichiomycetes; Serinales; Debaryomycetaceae. The record is from RNAcentral.